CCUACGGGUGGCAGCAGUGAGGAAUAUUGGUCAAUGGCCGGAAGGCUGAACCAGCCAUGCCGCGUGAAGGGCAGGGGCCUAAGGGCGGUAAACUUCUGUUGUGCGGGAGCAAGAAUGGGCACGUGGGGCCAGACGAGAGGACCGUACGAAUAAGCAGCGGCUAACUCCGGGCCAGCAGCCGCUGUAAUACGGGGGAUGCAAGCGUUAUCCGGAUUUCUUGGGUUUCAAGGGUGCGUAGGCUGUGAGGUAAGUCAGCGGUGAAAUGCCCCCGCUCAACGGGGUGAAGUGCCAUUGAUACUGCCUUGCUGGAUUGCGGCUGCCGUGGGUGGACUGUGUGGUGUAGCGG
RNAcentral lists this ribosomal RNA (346 nucleotides) under uncultured bacterium. RNAcentral describes it as "partial 16S ribosomal RNA". It matches the Rfam family "Bacterial small subunit ribosomal RNA", at positions 338 to 681 of the family's 1533-position model. The record is from RNAcentral.